Alnus glutinosa is the source of this 970-nucleotide long non-coding RNA. RefSeq lists it as uncharacterized. The transcript is spliced from 3 exons. The record is from RefSeq and is a predicted model, not a curated record. Lineage: Eukaryota; Viridiplantae; Streptophyta; Magnoliopsida; Fagales; Betulaceae.
CUUUUUAUUCUUCUUCUUUCCUCUCUUCUUCCUUCUUCGUUUCUGUACCCGACGAGGCAGAGAGAAAAAGAGAGUGAGACUGAGAGAGAGAUCAGAGAGAACUGAGAGAUCGGGAGAGAUAGAAAGAGAGACCGAGAUGCAGAGAGGGAGAGAUGGGAGUCGGGAGUAGCGUCGUUCGGAGCCGGGGCCAGAGCUGGAGAACCGGGGAAGAUCCAACCAACCAUGGUGGGUCGAAGCAGAGGACGCCGGGGAUGCUAUUUCCGGUGGGCCAGGUGGUGUUCCGGCCGGACCCCGUGACCCGUGAGCCCAGAGAACCCGAGAGACCCGAGAACCCGUGACCCGUGAAGUGCAAAACCUGAACGACCCAACUGAAUCGAAGAAGACCCGAUCGACGGAGGUCACCGCCAGUGAUUUCUGGUAACUUGGGAAGCUGAAUUCCGGCGAGCUCUGGUGUUUUCCGGCCUAACCCAUAACCCCGAACCCAUCAAGGCCGUGACCCAUAACCCAGAAUCCGUGACCCGUGUGUAUGUGUGUGCGACCCAUAUCGAACCCGAGAGAGAGAUCCGGUGGCUCCCAGUGGCGAUUUCUGGCGGUUCCGAUGGCGAUUCCGGCGAACCCGUGACCCGUUGACCCGAGACCCGGUGGAUUGAAGGCUAAAUUCCGGCUUAAUCUAGGAGAAUUUCCGGUUGUCUCCCUUAGCCUAAAACAGAAACUCUCAGAGGGGUAAAAGCUCGAUCUCGAUGCUAAUGGAAAGUCCAGAUGACCCAGUGAGACAAUAAUAAUUCUUGAUAUUGGCGCAGACCUCGCUAAGAGCCAUAGAUCAUUGUGGGCUGACUAGAUGUUUACUUUGUAUAGUAAGUUUUUCGGAGUUUCAAGGCGUUGUAAAGAAUUAUUAAAAGCUAGAAUUUAUUAAAUAGAUAUAAUAAGUUUCAGUCUAUAUAUAUAUGUUUUAAAUGCGCGCUUCCAUUUA